This 1217-nucleotide long non-coding RNA is filed under the name Malus domestica (apple). Its description in RNAcentral is "long non-coding RNA (MDOM_LNC020739)". The record is from RNAcentral. Lineage: Eukaryota; Viridiplantae; Streptophyta; Magnoliopsida; Rosales; Rosaceae.
CCUACUUACAUACAUUGCUACAAUUGAUAAAAAGAGGGUUUAAUUUGAGUGCUAGUUAAUUUUCACAUCAUUUGACCUUUCCUAAUUCUUUUUCACCUAAGUUCCAGCUGCAAAAGGAGUGUUCUAAACAUUUUAGGACACUUAACUAAUCUUCUAGAAGACCUAAUUCCAGCCAUAAGAGGGAUGCCACAUCUUCAUUUUCCCUUUCCCUUUUUCCUUGCCGCAAGUCCCUUACCCCUUUUCUCCUUGUCUUUGCCGUACAUCCCCUUUCCUAUUCUUCCAAAAUCGGACACAUAUAUUCCUUUCCCUUUCUACCUAGGAUCCUGCCACACCUUUUGUUUCCUUUUCCCUUUAAUUUCUGAUUUUACUUAGCUUUUCCUUGUGAACUUAGAAGUUAAAAUCCUUUUACAAUAAUUAAAACUUACCUUUCCUUUUCUCCUUUAUUCCUGUAGCACCUUAGCUUUAAUUCCUUAGGGUUUUUACAUACUUUACUCUAUAUAUAAGUCUAUGUCGCACCAUUUAGAGGGGGCUGACCAUCAAUCAUUAACAUAGUCCAUCAUCCACCCAUCUACCCUUCACCAAAACUCACCUAUAUCCAUUCCUCCUUAUAAACAACCUUUCAAACCAUCACCAACACCUUGUGCUGCAGCAAAGGAAGGGAAGGAAAGUGUCUGGACAUGCUUGCUGUUCAAUUUGGAUAAUUGGAACGUUUAGGUGUUUUCUUUCUUUUGUUUCCAAUGUAUAAAUCUGUUUAUCUUUGUUUUGCGAUUAUGAGGACUUAAGCCCUUUUUGGCUAGGGGACUAUUCAAAACCAUGAUUAUACUUGCAUUAUGAAUUGAUUACCUUCAGUUGUUAUUUCAUAAGUUGUGAAUUAAAUUUGCUUAACCAUUUGAUUGAUAACUUAUUCUUGUAUGUUUAUUAAGAGUACACGCUUAAUUUUCAUGCAAGGAUUUGAAGCUAAAAUAUAAGGGAGUUUCACCUAAUAGUUACAAACUUAUAUUUACAAGUAGUGAAGGUCGCUUAUAAACGAUCGCGUUAAGUGAAUUCUUGGAAGAGUAUCAUCCUAAUCAUAGUUACAAAUGCCUCAUGAUAGGAGCAUAUUUAUGCGACUUAGUUGGCUUGUUCUUAAGUAUUUAUGUUGUUUUUCUUUAGUUAUUUUAGUUUUUAAAGUCAUUUUCGUGCAAUUUCAGGUUUAGAGACGAAGUAUGCAAAGAAGU